Molecule: long non-coding RNA, 735 nt
Organism: Eriocheir sinensis (Chinese mitten crab)
Lineage: Eukaryota; Metazoa; Arthropoda; Malacostraca; Decapoda; Varunidae
Exons: 3
Source: RefSeq, a predicted model, not a curated record
GUACAGAAGAAGCGUCACACUACCACCAGGGUCAUAAAAAUACUCCUGGAAAUGCCCCAAACUCCUACGAAAGCCUUGUCAAAUAUGUGUUUCCUAGGUUCAUGGUACAGAAGAAGCGUCACACUACCACCAGGGUCAUAAAAAUACUUCUGGAAAUGCCCCAAACUCCUACGAAAGCCUUGUCAAAUAUGUGUUUCCUAGGUUCAUGGUACAGAAGAAGCGUCAAACUACCACCAGGGUCAUAAAACUACUCCUGGAAAUGCCCCAAACUCCUACGAAAGCCUUGUCAAAUAUGUGUUUCCUAGGUUCAUGGUACAGAAGAAGGGUCACACUACCACCAGGGUCAUAAAAAUACUCCUGGAAAUGCCCCAAACUCCUACGAAAGCCUUGUCAAAUAUGUGUUUCCUAGGUUCAUGGUACAGAAGAAGGGUCACACUACCACCAGGGUCAUAAAACUACUCCUGGAAAUGCCCCAAACUCCUACGAAAGCCUUGUCAAAUAUGUGUUUCCUAGGUUCAUGGUACAGAAGAAGCGUCACACUACCACCAGGGUCAUAAAAAUACUUCUGGAAAUGCCCCAAACUCCUACGAAAGCCUUGUCAAAUAUGUGUUUCCUAGGUUCAUGGUACAGAAGAAGCGUCAAACUAUCACCAGGGUCAUAAAACUACUCCUGGAAAUGCCCCAAACUCCUACGAAAGCCUUGUCAAAUAUGUGUUUCCUAGGUUCAUGGUACAGA